Ictalurus furcatus (blue catfish) is the source of this 672-nucleotide non-coding RNA. The record is from the annotation of a RefSeq genome assembly. NCBI's taxonomy places the organism in Eukaryota, Metazoa, Chordata, Actinopteri, Siluriformes, Ictaluridae.
AUAACACUCCUGUACACUUUAAAUCUGGGUGAAGCAGAACUCAGAGAAGGAUGAUUUUAGGACAUUGUAUUUUAUUUGUGCUCAUUUCAUAUUCUUAUGGACAGUCCCUGACCUCCUCUGCUUCUGUGGUGAAGAGACCUGGAGAGUCAGUCACUCUGUCCUGUACUGUCUCCGGAUUCUCAAUGGGCAGCUACUGGAUGAGCUGGAUCCGUCAGAAACCAGGAAAAGGAUUGGAGUGGAUCGGGCGCAUUGACACUGGCACUGGCACAACAUUCGCUCAGUCUCUGCAGGGCCAGUUCUCCAUCACUAAAGACACCAAUAAAAACAUGCUGUACCUUGAAGUGAAGAGUCUGAAAGCUGAAGACACGGCUGUUUAUUACUGUGCACGACACUCACACUGACACAACAGACUCCAGAGCUGUACAAAAACUUACACAAGCAUGUCCUCAUGAGCUGUAAAUAUUCCCUCAGCAGGAAACUGAACCCCAGAGACAUUUAUUAUAAACAACAUCCAUUCAUUUUAGUGCUCAGUUUUAUUUCCCCUUUUGUCUUACUCCAUUAACAGUCAAAAUUCCUCUGUAAAAUUCUCAGCCUUUUCUUUUAUUAUCUCUGGCUGGUGCUUAAAGCUGAAGACAAACAUGAAAGCAACAUUAAUUAUACACAAAGACAUUA